This 427-nucleotide ribosomal RNA is filed under the name uncultured bacterium. Its description in RNAcentral is "partial 16S ribosomal RNA". It matches the Rfam family "Bacterial small subunit ribosomal RNA", at positions 355 to 774 of the family's 1533-position model. The record is from RNAcentral.
UGGGGAAUAUUGCACAAUGGGCGCAAGCCUGAUGCAGCCAUGCCGCGUGUGUGAAGAAGGCCUUCGGGUUGUAAAGCACUUUCAGCGAGGAGGAAGGGUAGUGUGUUAAUAGCACAUUGCAUUGACGUUACUCGCAGAAGAAGCACCGGCUAACUCCGUGCCAGCAGCCGCGGUAAUGCGGAGGGUGCAAGCGUUAAUCGGAAUUACUGGGCGUAAAGCGCACGCAGGCGGUUUGUUAAGUCAGAUGUGAAAUCCCCGCGCUUAACGUGGGAACUGCAUUUGAAACUGGCAAGCUAGAGUCUUGUAGAGGGGGGUAGAAUUCCAGGUGUAGCGGUGAAAUGCGUAGAGAUCUGGAGGAAUACCGGUGGCGAAGGCGGCCCCCUGGACAAAGACUGACGCUCAGGUGCGAAAGCGUGGGGAGCAAACA